GAUUACUGAGAUAAACAAAGUUGCUACAAUUCACUACAGGGUCAGCAAGAGUGCCAGUUGGAGGCCUGGCAAGACUAAAGCUCAUCAUUGCUCGCAACGGACCCGACUGCGACAGGCUACCAACUGCCCACACCUGCUUCAAUGUUCUACUCCUACCUGAAUAUUCUAGUAAAGAAAAACUCAAGGAUCGCCUCUAUAAAGCCAUCAAGUACUCUCAGGGCUUUGGUAUGCUCUGAGCAAUCUGCAGAUUCAGGUAAGCUUGUGGCCUUGAGAAUAUGUAGCGAGUUAAAGUGAGACAUCAUGGGCUAUCUGCAGUGCCUGGGCUAUGGAAGACCAUCAGCAAUUGGAGUGUUGUUGGUGUCUUUACUUGCUACUUAAAAAAAAAAGUUAUCCUAAUUGGCUUCAAUCUGUAGAUGUAAUUUUGAUAAUAGUCUUCACAAAUUUUCUUUCUGUAGGCAGAUAUUCAUUAUUCAAAGAUGUUUCUCUUUUUAUCAUCAUCAGAAGGCUUUCCUCAUCAAAGGUCUCAAAUCUUGUGUACAGUAUUAGAUUUUUAGGGUCCCAGAAAAUUGGAUUUCUAAUGAUUCAUAUCAUAAAAGCUUCAUCAUAUUGUAAUGGAUAGACGUGAAGGAACUUUUAGAAUGCCCAGUACUGUUUACUGGUCUUGUACUAAUUUCAGAGUUUCAGACUAUUUUCCCAGUUGAGAAAUUUAUGUAGAAAUUUGGUCAAUAUUUUAUCAUAGUGCCUGUUAAAAAAUGCUAAUUUUUAUGUAAAAGAAAUGAAUAAGAAUGAGUUAUUAAUUCUUCAAGUUCAGUUAAAAAAUCACCAUAUGAAUUUUAUUUAACUUUUAAUCAUUCACAAAAUCAAACAAGCUGGAUAUUUGGGUAUACCUUCAAACCACUUCCAUUCUAUCAGUGCAUCAAAUGGUCAUAUGAUACACAUUUUUAAAAAGCCUUACUUCAUGCUGUUGCUUUUCUUUAAAAUCUGUCAAGUGCUGUCUGUGAGAAGAUUGAUGCUGUGUGACACAAGGUUAGAUAUUAUAUCAGUGU
Penaeus monodon (black tiger shrimp) is the source of this 1046-nucleotide long non-coding RNA. RefSeq lists it as uncharacterized. NCBI's taxonomy places the organism in Eukaryota, Metazoa, Arthropoda, Malacostraca, Decapoda, Penaeidae. The record is from RefSeq and is a predicted model, not a curated record. The transcript has 3 exons.